UAGGGAAUCUUCGGCAAUGGGGGGAACCCUGACCGAGCAACGCCGCGUGAGUGAAGAAGGUUUUCGGAUCGUAAAGCUCUGUUGUUAAGGAAGAACGUGUGUGAGAAUGGAAAGUUCAUACUGUGACGGUACUUAACCAGAAAGGGACGGCUAACUACGUGCCAGCAGCCGCGGUAAUACGUAGGUCCCGAGCGUUGGCCGGAUUGAUUGGGCGUAAAGCGAGCGCAGGCGGUUAGAUAAGUCUGAAGUUAAAGGCAGUGGCUCAACCAUUGUAGGCUUUGGAAACUGUUUAACUUGAGUGCAGAAGGGGAGAGUGGAAUUCCAUGUGUAGCGGUGAAAUGCGUAGAUAUAUGGAGGACCACCGGUGGCGAAAGCGGCUCUCUGGUCUGUAACUGACGCUGAGGCUCGAAAGCGUGGGGAGCGAACAGG
Molecule: ribosomal RNA, 429 nt
Filed under: Bacteroidota bacterium
Lineage: Bacteria; Pseudomonadati; Bacteroidota
Description: Bacteroidetes bacterium partial 16S ribosomal RNA
Rfam family: Bacterial small subunit ribosomal RNA
Source: RNAcentral